Molecule: ribosomal RNA, 254 nt
Filed under: uncultured bacterium
Lineage: Bacteria
Description: partial 16S ribosomal RNA
Rfam family: Bacterial small subunit ribosomal RNA
Source: RNAcentral
UACGAAGGGGGCUAGCGUUGCUCGGAAUCACUGGGCGUAAAGGGUGCGUAGGCGGGUCUUUAAGUCAGGGGUGAAAUCCUGGAGCUCAACUCCAGAACUGCCUUUGAUACUGAAGAUCUUGAGUUCGGGAGAGGUGAGUGGAACUGCGAGUGUAGAGGUGAAAUUCGUAGAUAUUCGCAAGAACACCAGUGGCGAAGGCGGCUCACUGGCCCGGUACUGACGCUGAGGAGCGAAAGCGUGGGGGAGCGAACAGG